This 366-nucleotide long non-coding RNA is filed under the name Setaria viridis. RNAcentral's name for it is "long non-coding RNA (SVIR_LNC005447)". The record is from RNAcentral. Lineage: Eukaryota; Viridiplantae; Streptophyta; Magnoliopsida; Poales; Poaceae.
CCGAAUGAAUGUAAUCGGCCAUUUAUGAACGUAAUCGGUCGUUCUGGUUGAUUUCAUGUGAAUCUCAAAACCGAGUUGUGUCGGUCAUAUUUGACUGUGUUUAUCCCUUUAAGCCCCGACCCAUAUACUCGGGUAAUAUCUUUUUAAAUAUCUCCCAUUCAGAGCCCUAGUGAAUUCUUCCCCCUCUAUUGUCUCCAAAAUAUACGCAUUCCCCGGAGCGCAUCUGCCGAUUCUAUACGGCCCUUCCCAGGUAGGAGACCAUUUGCCGAAUUUAGGAUCUUUCGACCCGAUCGGUAGUACCAACUUCCAUACCAAAUCUCCAGGGGAGAACUGUUUGACUUUGACCUUUUUAUCAUACCACCUGGC